GUGAGGAAUAUUGGUCAAUGGACGGAAGUCUGAACCAGCCAAGUAGCGUGCAGGAUGACGGCCCUAUGGGUUGUAAACUGCUUUUAUGCGGGGGUAAAGUGAGUGACGUGUCAUUCAUUGCAAGUACCGCAAGAAUAAGGACCGGCUAAUUCCGUGCCAGCAGCCGUGGUAAUACGGAAGGUCCUGGUGUUAUCCGGAUUUAUUGGGUUUAAAGGGAGCGUAGGCCGUCAGGCAAGCGUGUUGUGAAAUGUCGUGGCUCAACCAUGGACUUGCAGCGCGAACUGCCCGACUUGAGUGCGCGGAAAGCAGGCGGAAUUUGUGGUGUAGCGGUGAAAUGCUUAGAUAUCACGAAGAACCCCGAUUGCGAAGGCAGCCUGCUGUAGCGCUACUGACGCUGAAGCUCGAAAGUGCGGGUAUCGAACAGGAUUAGAAACCCCGGUAGUCC
This 445-nucleotide ribosomal RNA is filed under the name uncultured bacterium. RNAcentral describes it as "partial 16S ribosomal RNA". It matches the Rfam family "Bacterial small subunit ribosomal RNA", at positions 354 to 796 of the family's 1533-position model. The record is from RNAcentral.